GCAGACACAUUCCAGCCAAUCAGCAGCAGACCCUCCCUCCCAGACCCUCCCACCUCCUGGACAGCUCACUAAGAAUGCAGCUUCAAAAUGGAUGCUGUCCAGGAUGUGGGAGGGUCUGGGAGAGAGGGUCUGCUGCUGAUUGGCUGGAAUGUGUCUG
This 157-nucleotide microRNA precursor is filed under the name Pelobates cultripes (western spadefoot toad). Lineage: Eukaryota; Metazoa; Chordata; Amphibia; Anura; Pelobatidae. The record is from RNAcentral.